CAAUAGCGUAUAUUUAAGUUGUUGCAGUUAAAAAGCUCGUAGUCGGAUUUUGGCUGAGAACGAUCGGUCCGACGUUAGGUGUGCACUGAUUGGUCUCAGCUUCCUGGUGAGGAGGUGUGCUUCACGGCCACUUAGUCACCGUGGUUACUUUGAAAAAAUUAGAGUGUUCAAAGCGGGCUUACGCUUGAAUAUAUUAGCAUGGAAUAACACCAUAGGACUCCUGUCCUAUUUCGUUGGUCUCGGGACGGGAGUAAUGAUUAAGAGGAACAGUUGGGGGCAUUCGUAUUUCAUUGUCAGAGGUGAAAUUCUUGGAUUUAUGAAAGACGAACUUCUGCGAAAGCAUUUGCCAAGGAUGUUUUCAUUGA
Molecule: ribosomal RNA, 365 nt
Filed under: uncultured eukaryote
Lineage: Eukaryota
Description: partial 18S ribosomal RNA
Rfam family: Eukaryotic small subunit ribosomal RNA
Source: RNAcentral